This 266-nucleotide signal recognition particle RNA is filed under the name Fidelibacterota bacterium. RNAcentral describes it as "signal recognition particle sRNA large type". It matches the Rfam family "Bacterial large signal recognition particle RNA". Rfam says of the family: The signal recognition particle (SRP) is a universally conserved ribonucleoprotein involved in the co-translational targeting of proteins to membranes. Archaeal SRP consists of a 7S RNA and homologues of the eukaryotic SRP19 and SRP54 proteins. The record is from RNAcentral. Lineage: Bacteria; Pseudomonadati; Fidelibacterota.
CUAUGCUACAUGGGGAGCUAGCGGUGCCCUGUAACCUGCAAACCGCUACAGCAGGGUGGAUGCCAGGCGGAGGGUUAUGUUCUAGCUGCUUUGUGAUGAUAUGUGGCGAUGACACUUUCCAUUCUGCGCAAUGAAAAGUUGGUAAACCCCGUCAGGCCUGGAAGGGAGCAGCGGCAACCGAUUAUUUUAUGUGCCGCAGGAUUACAGAAAGCGAGCAAACAGUCAAAACAGAGUUGUUAUCAACAGAUUCGAUGCCUGGUGCAUAG